Long non-coding RNA from Sycon ciliatum, 482 nucleotides. RefSeq lists it as uncharacterized. The transcript is spliced from 2 exons. Lineage: Eukaryota; Metazoa; Porifera; Calcarea; Leucosolenida; Sycettidae. The record is from RefSeq and is a predicted model, not a curated record.
CUGAUGACGGAUUAGUGGUCUUCAUUUUUUUGCUGAAAGAAAGUGGUCACUUGCAGCCUCAAAAUGGCCAGCCAGCAAGGCAAACGAACCUCGUCGCAGUCGGAGGAAGGCACCGACGCCCCUUCGCAGCCGGAGGCUAAGAGGGUUUUCAAGGUGAAGCCGCUCCCUCCUUCCAAAGUGCCAAGGAAGACGCACCGACCGAAAGUGCACAGGUGCGAUUAUGCUCGCUACGGCAAGGAGAACAGUUUUAUCUGUUGGAAGAGGCUGAGCCUUUCGGAACAAGUCAUCAUAUGUAAUUGUGGUCUACGGUUUUGCCGGCUCCACAAAUAUCCGGAGCAGCAUGAUUGUGACCGCGAUUACAAGGCGGAAGCUCGAGAGCGUUUGGCAGAGGAGAUGCCAAAAAUUGGAGACGACCACGGCCUGAAGAAAAUGUAAUAUUUUUCUUCCUUGAAUUUCAACAUUCAAUAAACAAUUAUUUUUGU